CGAGUAAGCGAGGCGAUCGCGCGGGGGAGACUCCGUGAGGAAAGUCCGGGCUCCGUAGGGCAAGGGUGCCGGAUAACGUCCGGCGCGGGUAACCGUAGGGAAAGUGCAACAGAAACAUACUUCCGAUGGCUGCUUCGGCAGCACAGGAGAUGGUGAAAUGGCGAGUUAAGAGCUCACCGGCGUCAUGGAGACAUGGCGGCCGUGUAAACCCCACCCGGUGCAAGGUAAGAGGGUAUGCCUGUCUUAUGACAGGGGCCGCGGCCCGUGGCCACCCGGAAUGGUAUGCCGCAGGCGAGCGCUCAGGCGCUCCGGAGGCGGGCGGCAACGUCCGUCCCAGAUAGAUGAUCGUCCACGACAGAAUCCGGCUUAUUGCUUGCUCAAAUU
RNAcentral lists this RNase P RNA (384 nucleotides) under Eubacteriales Family XIII. Incertae Sedis bacterium. RNAcentral's name for it is "RNase P RNA component class A". It matches the Rfam family "Bacterial RNase P class A". From Rfam's summary of the family: Ribonuclease P (RNase P) is a ubiquitous endoribonuclease, found in archaea, bacteria and eukarya as well as chloroplasts and mitochondria. Its best characterised activity is the generation of mature 5'-ends of tRNAs by cleaving the 5'-leader elements of precursor-tRNAs. Lineage: Bacteria; Bacillati; Bacillota; Clostridia; Peptostreptococcales; Anaerovoracaceae. The record is from RNAcentral.